This 425-nucleotide ribosomal RNA is filed under the name uncultured bacterium. RNAcentral describes it as "bacterial SSU rRNA". It matches the Rfam family "Bacterial small subunit ribosomal RNA", at positions 354 to 776 of the family's 1533-position model. The record is from RNAcentral.
GUAGGGAAUAUUGGGCAAUGGGCGAGAGCCUGACCCAGCCAUGCCGCGUGCAGGAAGAAGGCGUUAUGCGUUGUAAACUGCUUUUGACUGGGAACAAAGAGUCCAUGCGUGGAUAAAUGAGUGUACCAGUAGAAUAAGCACCGGCUAACUCCGUGCCAGCAGCCGCGGUAAUACGGAGGGUGCAAGCGUUGUCCGGAUUUAUUGGGUUUAAAGGGUGCGUAGGCGGUUAUCUAAGUCCGUGGUGAAAGGCAGCAGCUUAACUGUUCGCAUUGCCAUUGAUACUGGAUGACUUGAGUACAGACGAGGUAGGCGGAAUUUAUGGUGUAGCGGUGAAAUGCAUAGAUACCAUAAAGAACACCGAUUGCGAAGGCAGCUUACUAGGCUGUAACUGACGCUGAGGCACGAAAGCGUGGGGAUCGAACAGG